RNAcentral lists this ribosomal RNA (382 nucleotides) under uncultured bacterium. Its description in RNAcentral is "bacterial SSU rRNA". It matches the Rfam family "Bacterial small subunit ribosomal RNA", at positions 28 to 412 of the family's 1533-position model. The record is from RNAcentral.
GACGAACGCUGGCGGCGUGCUUAACACAUGCAAGUCGAGCGGUAAGGCCCUUUCGGGGGUACACGAGCGGCGAACGGGUGAGUAACACGUGGGUGACCUGCCCUUAGCUCUGGGAUAAGCCUGGGAAACUGGGUCUAAUACCGGAUAUGACUCCAUAACGCAUGUUGUGGGGUGAAAGCCUUGUGCGGCUAGGGAUGGGGCCCGCGGCCUAUCAGCUUGUUGGUGGGGUGAUGGCCCACCAAGGCGACGACGGGUAGCCGGCCUGAGAGGGCGACCGGCCACACUGGGACUGAGACACGGCCCAGACUCCUACGGGAGGCGGCAGUGGGGAAUCUUGCGCAAUGGGCGAAAGCCUGACGCAGCGACGCCGCGUGGGGAUGAC